RNAcentral lists this ribosomal RNA (472 nucleotides) under uncultured bacterium. RNAcentral describes it as "bacterial SSU rRNA". It matches the Rfam family "Bacterial small subunit ribosomal RNA", at positions 28 to 502 of the family's 1533-position model. The record is from RNAcentral.
GACGAACGCUGGCGGCGUGCCUAACACAUGCAAGUCAACUUGACUGAAGGAGCAAUCUGACAGUAGAGUGGCGCAAGGGUGCGUAACGCGUAAGUAACUUGCCCAAGGUAAGGAAUAACGUCGAGAAAUCGGCGCUAAUACCUCAUAAUGCAGCGGAUCCGCAUGGAUAUGUUGUUAAAGGUUUACCGCCUUGGGAUAGGCUUGCGUCUGAUUAGCUAGUUGGUGUGGUAACGGCACACCAAGGCUACGAUCAGUAACUGGUCUGAGAGGAUGAUCAGUCACACCGGAACUGAGACACGGUCCAGACUCCUACGGGAGGCAGCAGUGAGGAAUAUUGGGCAAUGCUCGAAAGAGUGACCCAGCAACGCCGCGUGGAGGAUGAAGGUAUUCUAUAUCGUAAACUCCUGUGAGAGCAGACGAAGACAGAUUAUAAUCUGGAUGACUGUAUGCUCAGAGGAAGCCCCGGCUAACU